Molecule: transfer RNA, 74 nt
Filed under: Clostridiales bacterium
Lineage: Bacteria; Bacillati; Bacillota; Clostridia; Eubacteriales
Also listed under: 2 other names
Description: tRNA-Cys
Rfam family: tRNA
About the family: Transfer RNA (tRNA) molecules are approximately 80 nucleotides in length. Their secondary structure includes four short double-helical elements and three loops (D, anti-codon, and T loops).
Source: RNAcentral
GGCACCAUAGCCAAGUGGUAAGGCAGAGGUCUGCAACACCUUUAUCCCCAGUUCAAAUCUGGGUGGUGCCUCCA